Molecule: long non-coding RNA, 1107 nt
Organism: Cephus cinctus (wheat stem sawfly)
Lineage: Eukaryota; Metazoa; Arthropoda; Insecta; Hymenoptera; Cephidae
Exons: 3
Source: RefSeq, a predicted model, not a curated record
AUACGAAGAUCCCAUCGACUCGAGAAUGACGUUUGCGCUGUUUAUAGAACGCAGCAGGAGCUUUCGGCGAAUCCAGCAUGCGACUAAUACCGUAAGGCGAACGCUCAAUUGUGUAAUCAAUUGUACGUCAUUCAAGACACUCCAAACUGCUUACCUGCAGAAAUUUUUGAAGCAAUAUAACCUCACCGGUGGUCAAGUAGUACAAAAUGGAAAUGAUCGAGAAGAUAGUCAAUAAAUUAUUGAUCAUAUUGAAGGACAGUCCCAACACAGCCCAGUGGUAGCAGCCAGCUAUCCGUGCGGGUCGGAGCUCCUGGGAUCACGGAGGAGGAUAACCGCAUUGGCGUAACUAGAGGUUCCGGAAUCAACGGCAGGAAAAUCGUACGUGUAAAAUGGCAGCGGGAAUGCAUUUGCAUUUACAUUCGGGAUAUUAAGUUGCGGCUCACGCUAUUUUUACUGGCGAUCAUAGCGAGGACCAUCAGUAUGCGAUGCGCCUGGGGCUUCAUAGUUUUAUGGAUAACGUCCCGGUAGGGACCGGGGAAACUUUCCACUUGGAAAAAAGACUGGAGGGAAGAAGAGGGUUGCACGAAAAAAAAGGAGGAAAAAAGUCUCCGUGACUCUUAGGACAGUGUACCUACUGGGAAUAUGAGAAAAUUUUUCGAGUAGCAUCUUUUAUCAUAUAUUAUAAUAUUAUACACUGGUAACACACUUCUGAUCGUACCGUAUAGAGCGUCCAGAUGAAUUUUCGAAGCAGAUGGUAAUUUUGGAAAGGUUAAAAACAAUUUUAUCUAAUGUUUGAUUUAAAUAUCUCUGUUUUUUAACCCAUGGGUAUCAGUGGCACGGUGAAAAUUGUAUUGGGAAAGCGAGUAAAACAAAGAGUCAUAAAUUAAUUGCACGCGUGCUGCACGCGUUAUUUAUGCGAACCCCUGGGGUUCGCAUGGGAGAUUAUACUUAUAGCCGUGCAGUUAUCAUAGUUUAGUGUGCGAACUCUAUUUGCUUACAGCCGUGGCCAUUUGUCACGUGGCUUUUGAGCAUCCUGACCAUCUAAUGGCCGUCCUGGGGACGAGAACUGGCGAGUGUCACAUUUAGAAAAAAACGUACCUGGACGAU